RNAcentral lists this ribosomal RNA (325 nucleotides) under Eremaeozetes octomaculatus. RNAcentral describes it as "eukaryotic LSU rRNA". It matches the Rfam family "Eukaryotic large subunit ribosomal RNA", at positions 666 to 944 of the family's 3401-position model. Lineage: Eukaryota; Metazoa; Arthropoda; Arachnida; Sarcoptiformes; Eremaeozetidae. The record is from RNAcentral.
CCAAGGAGUUUAACAUGUGCGCGAGUCACUCGGUCUUGUUUAGGCCAGAGAGGCGCAAUGAAAGUAAAGUUUGUUAAGUUACGAUCUUUGUCUAUAAUGACUAGCAUAUUUUGUAUGUUGGUCGGCAAAGCGCAGUAACAGCCCGCCAAUUUCGCUUAUUGACGAUAUGGCGGAGUUAUAGCGUACACGUUGAGACCCGAAAGAUGGUGAACUAUGCCUGGGCAAGACGAAGCCAGAGGAAACUCUGGUGGAGGUCUGUAGCGAUUCUGACGUGCAAAUCGAUCGUCAGACCUGGGUAUAGGGGCGAAAGACUAAUCGAACCAUC